Molecule: transfer RNA, 72 nt
Filed under: Ovis aries (sheep)
Lineage: Eukaryota; Metazoa; Chordata; Mammalia; Artiodactyla; Bovidae
Rfam family: tRNA
About the family: Transfer RNA (tRNA) molecules are approximately 80 nucleotides in length.
Source: Rfam by way of RNAcentral
UCCCUGGUGGCUCAGAUGGUAAAGCGUCUGCCUGCGGUGCAGGAGACCCGGGUUCGAUCCCUGGGUUGGGAC